RNAcentral lists this ribosomal RNA (300 nucleotides) under uncultured Bacillus sp. Its description in RNAcentral is "bacterial SSU rRNA". The stretch from base 52 to 300 matches the Rfam family "Bacterial small subunit ribosomal RNA", at positions 547 to 795 of the family's 1533-position model. The record is from RNAcentral. Lineage: Bacteria; Bacillati; Bacillota; Bacilli; Caryophanales; Bacillaceae.
GGAGGGUAGGGGCAAGCAGAUGGGGGAAGAGGUGGGGGGCGAGGGUGGUUCGGGAUUGAUGGGAGUAAAGGGCGUGGAGGGUGGUGUUUAAGUAGGGGGUGAAAGCCUUUAGCUCAACUCAAGAAAGGCACUCGAUACUGGAUGACUUGAGGACCGGAGAGGAUAGUGGAAUUCCCAGUGUAGUGGUGAAAGACGUAGAGAUUGGGAAGAACACCAGUGGCGAAGGCGGCUAUCUGGACGGUUUCUGACGCUAAGACGCGAAAGCGUGGGGAGCAAACAGGAUUAGAUACCCGGGUAGUC